UACGUAGGGUGCAAGCGUUGUCCGGAAUUAUUGGGCGUAAAGAGCUCGUAGGCGGUCUGUCGCGUCUGCUGUGAAAACCUAGGGCUUAACUCUGGGCGUGCAGUGGGUACGGGCAGGCUAGAGUGCGGUAGGGGAGACUGGAAUUCCUGGUGUAGCGGUGAAAUGCGCAGAUAUCAGGAGGAACACCGGUGGCGAAGGCGGAUCUCUGGGCCUUACCUGACGCUGAGGCGCGAAAGCUAGGGGAGCGAACAGG
This 253-nucleotide ribosomal RNA is filed under the name uncultured bacterium. RNAcentral's name for it is "partial 16S ribosomal RNA". It matches the Rfam family "Bacterial small subunit ribosomal RNA", at positions 524 to 776 of the family's 1533-position model. The record is from RNAcentral.